AACGAACGCUGGCGGCAGGCUUAACACAUGCAAGUCGAGCGCCCAGCAAGGGGAGCGGCAGACGGGUGAGUAGCGCGUGGGAACGUACCAUCUGGUUCGGAACAACUCCGGGAAACUGGAGCUAAUACCGGAAAAGCCCUCACGGGGCAAGAAUUAUCGUCGAACGAGCGGCCCGCGUCUGAUAAGCUAGUUGGUGAGGUAACGGCUCACCAAGGCGACGACCAGUAGCUGGUCUGAGAGGAUGAGCAGCCACACUGAGACUGAGACACGGCCCAGACUCCUACGGGAGGCAGCAGUGGGGAAUGUUGGACAAUGGGCGCAGGGCUGAUCCAGCCAGGCCGCGUGAGUUAUGAAGUCCGUAGGGUAGUAAAGCUCUUGUGUCCGGGAAGAUAAUGACUGUACCGGAAGAAUAAGCCACGGCUAACUUCGUG
RNAcentral lists this ribosomal RNA (431 nucleotides) under uncultured bacterium. RNAcentral's name for it is "partial 16S ribosomal RNA". It matches the Rfam family "Bacterial small subunit ribosomal RNA", at positions 29 to 507 of the family's 1533-position model. The record is from RNAcentral.